UAGGGAAUCUUCCACAAUGGGCGAAAGCCUGAUGGAGCAACGCCGCGUGUGGGAUGAAGGGUUUCGGCUCGUAAAACACUGUUGUAAGAGAAGAAUGACAUUGAGAGUAACUGUUCAAUGCGUGACGGUAUCUUACCAGAAAGGAACGGCUAAAUACGUGCUAG
Molecule: ribosomal RNA, 164 nt
Filed under: uncultured bacterium
Lineage: Bacteria
Description: partial 16S rRNA
Rfam family: Bacterial small subunit ribosomal RNA
Source: RNAcentral